CCUACGGGUGGCAGCAGUGAGGAAUAUUGGUCAAUGGACGAGAGUCUGAACCAGCCAAGUAGCGUGAAGGAUGACUGCCCUAUGGGUUGUAAACUUCUUUUAUAUGGGAAUAAAAUGUUCCACGUGUGGGAUUUUGUAUGUACCAUAUGAAUAAGGAUCGGCUAACUCCGUGCCAGCAGCCGCGGUAAUAUGGAGGAUCCGAGCGUUAUCCGGAUUUAUUGGGUUUAAAGGGAGCGUAGGUGGAUUGUUAAGUCAGUUGUGAAAGUUUGCGGCUCAACCGUAAAAUUGCAGUUGAAACUGGCAGUCUUGAGUACAGUAGAGGUGGGCGGAAUUCGUGGUGUAGCGGUGAAAUGCUUAGAUAUCACGAAGAACUCCGAUUGCGAAGGCAGUUCACUGGACUGCAACUGACACUGAGGCUCGAAAGUGUGGGUAUCAAACAGGAUUAGAUACCCGUGUAGUC
This 460-nucleotide ribosomal RNA is filed under the name uncultured bacterium. Its description in RNAcentral is "partial 16S ribosomal RNA". It matches the Rfam family "Bacterial small subunit ribosomal RNA", at positions 338 to 795 of the family's 1533-position model. The record is from RNAcentral.